AUGGAUAUGGAGAUCGCGACUACCGGCGACGAAGAAGUAGACUUCUUGUCGGAUCCANNNNNNNNNNNNNNNNNNNNNNNNNNNNNNNNNNNNNNNNNNGUGCUCGCCCAUGGCAGAAGCCAAGCUGUAGUAUGCGAACCUGCUGAAUCCAUCAUUGGCGAAGCGGGGGACGCCGUACUAGCAGUGGAAAAUGACUUGAACAACACAUGUCAGGGGAUUGCCCUCUCUGCGCCAGCCUCCGAGCAAUCUACGGGGAAAGACGACCCUCAAGCCCCUGCCUGGGUGAGAAGAAUCCGUGUUGAGAGGAGUGCGCUGGAACUAACAAUACGAAGCUAUGCAGAAAAGAAAACUGAAACGGUCAUAGUUCCUGCUAUGGGAGGCAGUUUUGAUACGCUUGGGGAAGCUUAUGAUUACUACAAUCUAUAUUCAUGGGAGGGAAUUCCAAAGAAGGGUAACAAACGAACAUGCCGAUGCAGAUGCCCCGCAAUGAUACGAUUGCUCCGGUCAUCUGACAAUGGCUGCUUCUUCGGGUCAAUGACCAAUAUACCAUUCACCAAAAGAGCUCUCCGAGGUUUGUGUGGCAAGAUGAGUCGAGAACAAGCCGAUAAUGAUGUGAAAAAGACAAUGGAUGUUUUUGCAGAGUUGGGAGCAAAAGAUUCAGGCUUGUACUACAGGGUGCAACCUGAUGUUUUUGCAGAGUUGGGAGCAAAAGUUUCAGAGUUGAGCUUGUCGGCGGCCGAUUCGCAGCUAUCAACAGGAAAAGAUGACCCGCAAGCCCCCGGGUGGACAAAAAGGGUUCGUAUUGGACGAGCCCCUAUCGAGCGUGCACCUUGUGCUGGAAGAGUGUGUGCCCUUGAAAAAACAUUAAGUGGAUAUGCAGAGAACAAAACUGAUACCAUUGUGGUAUCAGUUGUUGGAUACAACUUCGAUUCAUUGGGAGAAGCAUACGACUUCUACAAUCUAUAUCCGUGGGAAAUUGGUUUCGGAAUAAGAUACGGAAAAAGCAGACUCAAUGUCGAGAGAACCAAAUAUAUGCAGGAGAUAGUGCGUGGAUUCUCGGCCAUGCGCGGGGAUGCAAACAGCAAACUGUACCCAUGUAGCUUGAUUUUUGAAUCAUUUUGGAGCGCCCGCCCAGCAAAGCCUGUACUUAAUAGCAAGGAAUCAGUUCAUGGGAGGGCUGAUGGCUUUGUCAAUGGGGGGAUGGAGAUAGAGGCGGAUCAUAUUGGAAUCAUGCUACUCGGUGGUGCAGGUUUCGAUCUAAACGCAGCCCUUGUGGUUCUCUGGAAGCUAGCAAAGAUUGAUGCUUUAACAAAAGAGGAAUCUUUAGUGUCUCCAUAUCCUUCAUAUUUAAAAAGAUCAUAA
Molecule: ribosomal RNA, 1362 nt
Filed under: Triticum aestivum (bread wheat)
Lineage: Eukaryota; Viridiplantae; Streptophyta; Magnoliopsida; Poales; Poaceae
Description: partial small subunit ribosomal RNA
Source: RNAcentral